UGAGGAGUAGCUCAGUUGGUAGAGCAGCAGACCGAUAAUCUGCUUGUCGUGGGUUCAAGUCCCUCCUCCUCAACCA
This 76-nucleotide transfer RNA is filed under the name Candidatus Bathyarchaeota archaeon. RNAcentral describes it as "tRNA-Ile". It matches the Rfam family "tRNA". From Rfam's summary of the family: Transfer RNA (tRNA) molecules are approximately 80 nucleotides in length. The record is from RNAcentral. Lineage: Archaea; Thermoproteati; Candidatus Bathyarchaeota.